Long non-coding RNA from Oryzias melastigma (Indian medaka), 1065 nucleotides. RefSeq lists it as uncharacterized. Lineage: Eukaryota; Metazoa; Chordata; Actinopteri; Beloniformes; Adrianichthyidae. The record is from RefSeq and is a predicted model, not a curated record. The transcript has 4 exons.
CAAACACAAACAAACGCAAACAAACAAACACAAACAAACGCAAACAAACAAACACAAACAAACACAGGAAUCACCAAAGUCCAAAGGAGCUCCUGGAGGAGGUUUCUGGCAGACUUUAUGAAAACAUCUGCAUAUCUGUGAAAACCUGUCAGGAAAGAGGAUCCACUGUUCUGGUAUGAUUCUAUAGAACUUCAUGAGAACUUCGACCCGGUGGAUGGUUCUGGACCGGGGCUCGGUCCACCAGCAGUUUUUGUUCUUUCUGACGUCAUAUAAAACCGUCUUUAGAGUCUGAAAUGAGGAGCUGAAGUAUCGGACCAGAACCAGAAAGGUGAAGUCGGUACGGAGAGAAAGGUCUGGAGCCGUGAGUGUUGGAGCAUGUAAACAAGGGUGUGGAGGAACUGAGGACUCUCACUAAUCACUCGUUCCUGGGGGGCAGCGUAAACAGGCUGCGGUAAACAAUGGACCCGGAACCUUUGCCGGGCCGGCCCACAUUCAUCAACCGCACACACAGAUUCCAGAGGAACUGGAAGCUUCUGCAGUCAUCCCUGUGAUCCGUCACCUUCAGGGUCGACCGGACCUCCAACCGAACCUCCAACCGCGUCCAAAACCUCUGUCAGAACCAGGCGCGUCUCUGCAGAGCUGGUCCGGUUCUCCGUCUUACCCGACAGCGGCUCUCUGGGUUUGACCACCUCCACCACCUCCUCCUCCGGCGCCGCCGGCUCCUCGGGGCUCUGGGACGAGCGAUCCGUGGACUCCCGCUUGAUCUUCCCCAGACCCACCAUCUUCAUGAAGGACACGCGGCGGCUGGUGGAGUCGCACUCGCUCUCCGAGCAGUUGGGCUCGCCGUUGGCGAAGGACUCCUUCCGCGAGCCCAGACCGUCGCGGUAUUUCCCAGCGAACCUGGGGAGAGCAGACGGGAGAGACGGAGCGUCUUUGGAGGCGUGUCUGCUCGAUGUGGUGACGGGCUUUCAUUCAGUCUGGUAACCGUGGAGAUGAUUUCAAGGUUUAUCAGAGAUCUAUGACCUCACAUUAUCUGAAACCCAAAUAAAAAAAUGUCAAAACCUU